This 594-nucleotide ribosomal RNA is filed under the name uncultured bacterium. Its description in RNAcentral is "bacterial SSU rRNA". It matches the Rfam family "Bacterial small subunit ribosomal RNA", at positions 114 to 706 of the family's 1533-position model. The record is from RNAcentral.
UACUUAGGAAUCUACCUAGUAGUGGGGGAUAGCACGGGGAAACUCGUAUUAAUACCGCAUACGACCUACGGGAGAAAGGGGGCAGUUUACUGCUCUCGCUAUUAGAUGAGCCUAGGUCGGAUUAGUUAGUUGGUGAGGUAAUGGCUCACCAAGACAGCGAUCCGUAACUGGUCUGAGAGGAUGAUCAGUCACACUGGAACUGAGACACGGCCCAGACUCCUACGGGAGGCAGCAGUGGGGAAUAUUGGACAAUGGGGGCAACCCUGAUCCAGCCAUGCCGCGUGUGUGAAGAAGGUCUUCGGAUUGUAAAGCACUUUAAGUUGGGAGGAAGGGCAGUUAACUAAUAUUUGACUGUUUUGACGUUACCGACAGAAUAAGCACCGGCUAACUUCGUGCCAGCAGCCGCGGUAAUACGAAGGGUGCAAGCGUUAAUCGGAAUUACUGGGCGUAAAGCGCGCGUAGGUGGUUCGUUAAGUUAGGAGUGAAAGCCCCGGGCUCAACCUGGGAAUUGCUUCUAAAACUGGCGGACUAGAGUAUGGUAGAGGGUGGUGGAAUUUCCUGUGUAGCGGUGAAAUGCGUAGAUAUAGGAAGGAA